Molecule: long non-coding RNA, 784 nt
Filed under: Equus caballus (horse)
Lineage: Eukaryota; Metazoa; Chordata; Mammalia; Perissodactyla; Equidae
Description: lncRNA (ENSECAG00000046854.1)
Source: RNAcentral
UCUGAAACCAGAUUAGCCAUCACUCGCGCAUGCUCACAGACUGCUGUAAGGAUGGAAUGAAAUGAAAAGCACCUUGUGCAGAGUUGGGAUAUAGCAGAUAAGGCGGAUGAGGCUGGUUGUUGAAGAAAUGAGAUGUUCUUCCCAGUGUUCGCUUCCAUUUCUUCUCUCCACUCGGAGCUGAAACACCCACUCCCUCCGGAGAUUUGUUUAAAUACUACAUGAAUGAGCCUAUAUUGAACCGGGUCCACAAGGGCACAAGCACCUCCUCAGCCAAUAACACGAGAAACAGUUUGCAGAAACCAAAAGUACCACUCUCAACCACUUGCCCCUUCAACAAGAGGUACGACUUUUAACAAAAAGAAUGCUAGGACAGCAGGAAUAUGCCACGCAAUGUGCCGGGAUGAGCUGUCAGUGCUUUUAGCAGAUAAUCAGAGCCCUGCCUUAAACUGCCCUUUCUUGCCAUUUGCUGAAUAUUCGUUCAUGGGAAGUAGCCAGGAAAGUGAAUUGAAAAGACUAUGCUCUGGAAAUGAGAUGUCCUACAGAUUUGUAGGCUCGUUAAUUAGGUCAACGUUAAUAGUUUCUGCAGGACUACAAGGGUUUUACUCAAAAAGAUCCUUGGCCACCUAUGUCUCAGUCAAGGACAUGUCACAAUUGUGAGCACUCGAAGGAGCAGCUGCAAUCAAGUGAAGUCGCUAUCGGCUGUGUGUCCGCUGGCAGGGAAAGGCCGACGGCCUCCUGCCAUUUGUGAUAUUCUUUGAGGACGCAGGAGAGUGCAGGAGGGAAG